GUGCUCACUUCAGCAGCACAUAUACUAAAACGGGAAAGAUGCAGAGAUUAGCAUGGCCCCCACAUAAGGAUGACAUGCAAAUUCGUGAAGUCUUCUGUAUUUUU
Cervus hanglu yarkandensis (Yarkand deer) is the source of this 104-nucleotide small nuclear RNA. Lineage: Eukaryota; Metazoa; Chordata; Mammalia; Artiodactyla; Cervidae. The record is from Ensembl.